GAUGAACGCUGGCGGCGUGCCUAAUACAUGCAAGUCGAGCGAACAGACGAGGAGCUUGCUCCUCUGACGUUAGCGGCGGACGGGUGAGUAACACGUGGAUAACCUACCUAUAAGACUGGGAUAACUUCGGGAAACCGGAGCUAAUACCGGAUAAUAUAUUGAACCGCAUGGUUCAAUAGUGAAAGACGGUUUUGCUGUCACUUAUAGAUGGAUCCGCGCCGCAUUAGCUAGUUGGUAAGGUAACGGCUUACCAAGGCGACGAUGCGUAGCCGACCUGAAAGGGUGAUCUGCCACCCUUGAACUGAGACGCGGACCAGACUACUACGGGAAGCACCAGUAGGGAAUCUUCCGCAAGGGGCGAAAGCCUGACGGAGCAACACCGCGUGAGUGAUGAAGGUCUUCGGAGCGUAAAACUCUGUUAUGAGGGAAGAACAAAUGUGUAAGUAACUAUGCACGACUUGACGGUACCUAAUCAGAAAGCCACGGCUAACUACGUG
This 497-nucleotide ribosomal RNA is filed under the name uncultured bacterium. Its description in RNAcentral is "partial 16S ribosomal RNA". It matches the Rfam family "Bacterial small subunit ribosomal RNA", at positions 28 to 507 of the family's 1533-position model. The record is from RNAcentral.